RNAcentral lists this ribosomal RNA (329 nucleotides) under uncultured eukaryote. Its description in RNAcentral is "partial 18S ribosomal RNA". It matches the Rfam family "Eukaryotic small subunit ribosomal RNA", at positions 1470 to 1796 of the family's 1831-position model. The record is from RNAcentral.
CCCUUAGAUGUUCUGGGCUGCACGCGCGCUACACUGAUGCGUUCAACGAGUUUAUGACCUUGCCCGAUAGGGUUGGGUAAUCUUUUUAAAUCGCAUCGUGAUGGGGAUAGAUUAUUGCAAUUAUUAAUCUUCAACGAGGAAUUCCUAGUAAGCGCGAGUCAUCAGCUUGCAUUGAUUACGUCCCUGCCCUUUGUACACACCGCCCGUCGCACCUACCGAUUGAAUGGUCCGGUGAAAUCUUCGGAUCUGAGAGAUGUCUGAUUAAUUUCGGACGCCUUUUGGAAAAGUUGCUUAAACCUUACCAUUUAGAGGAAGGUGAAGUCGUANCA